CCAUCUAUUCCUUGUUAGACUCAACCAUAUACAUCAAGGGGAAGAGUACAAGUACCAACAAGAAGGGAGCAACCACAAGCAUCAACAAGAUCAAAGGGCCGAAGGGGCCGAAGAGGCCAACAAUCUUCCUAAACGUUAAGCUUUGCUUUUUUACUUUUGGUUUGUAACUUAAUUAUUUUGAAACUUUGACUCGUAACUAAUUUUUUUGCUUUUGAGUUUGUUACUUUAUUUAUUUUAAAACCUUGGCUUGUAACUAAUUUUUUUUGCUUUUGGAUUUGUUACUUAAUUUAUUUUUAUUGCAUGCAUGUGUAGUAGAAAUUGAAUAGUAGAUCACAUAUGAUUAUAUGUUGCACAAUUUGUGCACAGAUUCAGAUUGCACAGAUUCAGAUUGGUAGAUUCAUAUAGGCAGAUUGCACAGAUUUGUGCACAGAUUCAAAUUUUAGUCUAACAACAGAUUGGGC
Molecule: long non-coding RNA, 461 nt
Filed under: Malus domestica (apple)
Lineage: Eukaryota; Viridiplantae; Streptophyta; Magnoliopsida; Rosales; Rosaceae
Description: long non-coding RNA (MDOM_LNC008101)
Source: RNAcentral